UUUUUCUUCUCUUCCCACCCGAGUUUUUUCUCUCUACACCCAGCAGACUUCCGGCCGUCCUCCCGCCGCCGUCCGACCUCCGUUCGCCGCCGGACCGGUCCCGUUCGGUCGGUCUCCCUCCCAGCUUCCAUUCUAGACCGGUGAGAGGAGCCCUAGCGCCGCCGUGAGUGAGCGGUGCCGCCCGAAAGCUUCGACUGCCGAAUUGGUUUUCUCGCCGGAACUUCCUCCUCCGGCCACCAAUCCGGGCAAGCUUGGUAUGGUUUUGUAGCCCUCCAACCCAGCAACCUUGUCCUAAAAGGACUCACUCCCUCUUGAGCUAGGUAAGGAGAAAUUUGAGGUGGAAGUUUUAUGGUGUUUUUGAUGUUUUUAGUCGAUUGCCCUAGUUAGGCUCGGAAUUGGUGUUUGUGCUAGUUAUGAAAGUUGUAGAGCUUGAUGAGAGGAAGAUGCUGUUAAAAUUUCAUAGGUUUUGGAGGUCGCCGGAAUUGACCUCCGGCCGCCGCUGCCGGCGGAGCCGCCGGCGGCGCCGCCGCCGGUUGGGAGAUUUUAAUGUUGUUAAAUUUGGAAUAUUAAGGGGAGUUUAUUGAAGUGAGUUAUGGAAUUUUUGGAUGAGUUUUGGAUAGGUUUAUGAAUUUCCGAAGUGUGGUAUUUUUGGCGGGUAAUUAAUGUAGAAUCCGGCCGUUGGAUUUAAGUCGUAUUUUGGAGAGGUUGUAUUUACGACUGUUGAGUAUGAUAUUUAAGUUCGGAUUGUUCCGAUGUAAGAAUAUCGAAGUUAGGCAAUAAUGAGCGUAAUUAUGGCUCUCGGGUAAUUUUGCCUAUUUUGAUUAAAUAUUGGAUAUUGGUUGGGAAAUUAAUAUUAUAUUUGGAACAGGACGUGAAGAGGCUCGAGCAGACGAGACCCCAGAUUGACAUCAGGCUUAGGCCUAAUUCGUGAGUGGACUUUUAUUUGAAAUAAUAUGCAUGCUAUGGUUCAUGAUUGAACAUUUCCUUUUGUUGGAGUUUUACCGUCAAUUAAUUUUGACGCUUUUAUUUCUCUGAGAGAGUUACCGAAAAUGGGAUUUUCGGUGAAUAUAAAAUAUGUAUUUAUGAGAGAGUAUGUAUAUAAAAGCUAGCUAGCCAUAUGUGUCUGUCCACCUUAAUGGCGUAGCAUAUAGCCGCAUUAUGGUGUGACGUGAGCGUUGGACGUAAGCGUAGUAGCCCUAUAUGAGUGUUUAAUUCAUAUAGGGGGGUAUGGGCACAUAUUUAUACACCCGUCUGUC
This 1256-nucleotide long non-coding RNA is filed under the name Fragaria vesca (wild strawberry). RNAcentral's name for it is "long non-coding RNA (FVES_LNC004350)". Lineage: Eukaryota; Viridiplantae; Streptophyta; Magnoliopsida; Rosales; Rosaceae. The record is from RNAcentral.